This 69-nucleotide transfer RNA is filed under the name Cardiastethus sp. Its description in RNAcentral is "tRNA-Gln". The record is from RNAcentral. Lineage: Eukaryota; Metazoa; Arthropoda; Insecta; Hemiptera; Anthocoridae.
UAUGAAAUAGUGUAAAAUGCACUAGAAAUUUUGAUUUUCUAAGUUUUAGUUUAAUUCUAAAUUUCAUAA